UACUUGUACUUGGUGGCGACCGGCGCACGGGUGCGUAACGCGUAUGCAACCUACCUUAUACUGAGGGAUAGCCCAGAGAAAUUUGGAUUAAUACCUCAUAGUAUCAUUUUGAAGACAUCUGAGAAUGAUUUAAAGAUUUAUCGGUAUAGGAUGGGCAUGCGUAAGAUUAGUUAGUUGGCGAGGUAACGGCUCACCAAGACUUCGAUCUUUAGGGGUUCUGAGAGGAUGAUCCCCCACACUGGUACUGAGAUACGGACCAGACUUC
This 265-nucleotide ribosomal RNA is filed under the name unidentified marine bacterioplankton. Its description in RNAcentral is "partial 16S ribosomal RNA". It matches the Rfam family "Bacterial small subunit ribosomal RNA", at positions 77 to 339 of the family's 1533-position model. The record is from RNAcentral.